GGUGAACGCUAGCUACAGGCUUAACACAUGCAAGUCGAGGGGUAACGAGAGGAAAGCUUGCUUUCCUUGUCGACGACCGGCGCACGGGUGAGUAACGCGUAUCCAACCUGCCCCCAACUAAGGAAUAACCUUGCGAAAGUAAGCCUAAUACCUUAUACUUUCCUCAGAAGUCAUCUGACGAGGACUAAAGAUUUGUCGGUUGUGUAUGGGGAUGCGUCUGAGUAGCUUGGUGGCGGGGUAACGGCCCAACAAGGCAACGAUCAGUAGGGGUUCUGAGAGGAAGGUCCCCCACAUUGGAACUGAGACACGGUCCAAACUCCUACGGGAGGCAGCAGUGAGGAAUAUUGGUCAAUGGGCGGAAGCCUGAACCAGCCAAGUAGCGUGCAGGAUGACGGCCCUAUGGGUAGUAAACUGCUUUUAUACAGGAAUAAAGUUAGCCACGUGUGGUUAUUUGUAGGUACUGUAUGAAUAAGGACCGGCUAAUUCCGUGCCAGCCGCCGCGUAA
RNAcentral lists this ribosomal RNA (505 nucleotides) under uncultured bacterium. RNAcentral's name for it is "partial 16S ribosomal RNA". It matches the Rfam family "Bacterial small subunit ribosomal RNA", at positions 28 to 522 of the family's 1533-position model. The record is from RNAcentral.